GGGGACAUGGGGACAUGGGGACAUGGGGACAGGGGGACAUUAGGACAUUGGGACACUGGGGACAUUGGGAUGUGGGGACGUGGGGACAUUGAGGGCAUUGGGGAUAUGGGGACAUGGGGAUGUGGGGACGUGGGGACAGGGGGACAGGGGGACAUUGGGAACAUGGGGACAUGGGGACAUUGGGGAUGUGGGGAUGUGGGGACAUGGGGACAUUGGGACAGGGGGACAUUAGGACAUUGGGACAUUGGGGACAUUGGGAUGUGGGGACGUGGGGACAUUGAGGGCAUUGGGGAUAUUGGGACAUGGGGACAUUCGGGACAUGGGGAUGUGGGGACAUGGGGACAUUGGGGACGUGGGGACAUGGGGACAUUGGGACGUGGGGACAUGGGGACACGGGGACACUCACGUGUGGCGUCGGUGCUGCUGCGGCUGUAGGAGCUGCGCACGCGGUAUUGAACCACGGGUUCACCAUGGGGAGCAAAGGCCGCACUGCGGGCAUGGGGACAUGGGGACAUGGGGACAUGGGGACAUGGGGACGUGGGGGCACGGGGACGUGGGGACGUGGGGACAUGGGGACAUGGGGACAUGGGGACACGGGGACAUGGGGACAUGGGGACACGGGGACACGGGGACACGGGGAGAUUGGGGACGUGGGGACGUGGGGACGUGGGGACGUGGGGACAUGGGGACAUUGGGGACAUGGGGACAAUGGGGACAUUGGGGACAUGGGGACAAUGGGGAUAUGGGGACGUGGAGAUGUGGGGACAAUGGGGACAUGGGGACAUGGGGACAAUGGGGACAUUGGGGACAUGGGGACAAUGGGGACAAUGGGGAUAUGGGGACGUGGAGAUGUGGGGACAAUGGGGACAAGGGGACAUGGGGACAGGGGGACAUGGCGAUGUGGGGACAUUGGGACAUGGGGACAUGGGGACAUGGGGACAAUGUGGAUAUGGGGACAUAGGGACAUGGGGACAUUGGGGAUGUGGGGAUGUGGGGACAUGGGGACAUGGGGACAUUGGGGACUUGGGGACACGGGGACGUGGGGACAUGGGGACAAUGGGACACAGGGACGUGGGGACACUGGGGAUGUGGGGAUACUGGGACAUGGGGGCAUUGGGACAUGGGGACGUGGGGACAUUGGGACAUGGGGUCAUGGGGACAUUGGGACAAUGGUGAUAUGGGGACAUAGGGACAUGGGGACAUUGGGGACGUGGGGACAAUGGGGACAAUGGGGAUAGGGGGAGAUUGGGGAGAUUGGGGACAUGGGGACAAUGGGGACAAUGGGGACAUGGGGACAUGGGGAUAUGGGGACAAUGGGGACAUGGGGACAAUGGGAAUGUGGGGACAUUGGGAACAUUGGGGACGUGGGGACGUGGGGACGUGGGGACGUGGGGACAUGGGGAUGUGGGGACAUUGGGACACGGGGACAUGGGGACAUUGGGGACACGGGGACAUGGGGACACGGGGACAUUGGGGACAUUGGGGACAUGGGGACACGGGGACCCUGGCCCCCUCACCCGUAGCGCGUGUCCUUGCGGCGCCUGCACGCGGCUCCCAGUGCUCCCAGCAGCGCCAGCACCGUGACUGCGCCCGCUGCCACCAGCAGCCACCAGGGGCGGCCUGCACCCACACCAGUACGGACCAGUACAGACCAGUACAGAGCAGUGCCAGACCAGUACAGACCAGUACAGAGCAAUACAGACGAGUACAGAGCAGAGCCAGACCAGUACAGACCAGUACAGAGCAGAACAGAGCAAUGCCAGACCAGUACAGAGCAGUGCCAGACCAGUACAGACCAGUACGGACCAGUACAGACCAGUACAGAGCAGUGCCAGACCAGUACAGAGCAAUACAGACCAGUACAGAGCAGAGCCAGACCAGUACAGACCAGUACAGACCAAU
This is a long non-coding RNA of Numida meleagris (helmeted guineafowl), 1902 nucleotides long. The record is from Ensembl. NCBI's taxonomy places the organism in Eukaryota, Metazoa, Chordata, Aves, Galliformes, Numididae.